AGAUUAAGUUAUUAAGGGCGCACGGUGGAUGCCUUGGCACUAGAAGCCGAUGAAGGACGUUACUAACGACGAUAUGCUUUGGGGAGCUGUAAGUAAGCUUUGAUCCAGAGAUUUCCGAAUGGGGAAACCCAGCAUGAGUUAUGUCAUGUUAUCGAUAUGUGAAUACAUAGCAUAUCAGAAGGCACACCCGGAGAACUGAAACAUCUUAGUACCCGGAGGAAGAGAAAGAAAAUUCGAUUCCCUUAGUAGCGGCGAGCGAAACGGGAAGAGCCCAAACCAAAAAGCUUGCUUGUUGGGGUUGUAGGACACUCUAUACGGAGUUACAAAGGACGACAUUAGACGAAUCAUCUGGAAAGAUGAAUCAAAGAAGGUAAUAAUCCUGUAGUCGAAAAUGUUGUCUCUCUUGAGUGGAUCCUGAGUACGACGGAGCACGUGAAAUUCCGUCGGAAUCUGGGAGGACCAUCUCCUAAGGCUAAAUACUCUCUAGUGACCGAUAGUGAACCAGUACCGUGAGGGAAAGGUGAAAAGCACCCCGGAAGGAGAGUGAAAUAGAACCUGAAACCGUGUGCUUACAAGUAGUCAGAGCCCGUUAAUGGGUGAUGGCGUGCCUUUUGUAGAAUGAACCGGCGAGUUACGAUUUGAUGCAAGGUUAAGCAGUAAAUGUGGAGCCGUAGCGAAAGCGAGUCUGAAUAGGGCGUUUAGUAUUUGGUCGUAGACCCGAAACCAGGUGAUCUACCCUUGGUCAGGUUGAAGUUCAGGUAACACUGAAUGGAGGACCGAACCGACUUACGUUGAAAAGUGAGCGGAUGAACUGAGGGUAGCGGAGAAAUUCCAAUCGAACCUGGAGAUAGCUGGUUCUCUCCGAAAUAGCUUUAGGGCUAGCCUCAAGUGAUGAUUAUUGGAGGUAGAGCACUGUUUGGACGAGGGGCCCCUCUCGGGUUACCGAAUUCAGACAAACUCCGAAUGCCAAUUAAUUUAACUUGGGAGUCAGAACAUGGGUGAUAAGGUCCGUGUUCGAAAGGGAAACAGCCCAGACCACCAGCUAAGGUCCCAAAAUAUAUGUUA
This 1065-nucleotide ribosomal RNA is filed under the name Staphylococcus aureus. RNAcentral describes it as "partial 23S ribosomal RNA". It matches the Rfam family "Bacterial large subunit ribosomal RNA", at positions 1 to 1061 of the family's 2925-position model. The record is from RNAcentral. Lineage: Bacteria; Bacillati; Bacillota; Bacilli; Caryophanales; Staphylococcaceae.